CUACGGGAGGCAGCAGUGGGGAAUAUUGGACAAUGGGCGAAAGCCUGAUCCAGCCAUGCCGCGUGAGUGAUGAAGGCCUUAGGGUUGUAAAGCUCUUUCAGCGGGGAAGAUAAUGACGGUACCAGCAGAAGAAGCCCCGGCUAACUCCGUGCCAGCAGCCGCGGUAAUACGGAGGGGGCUAGCGUUGUUCGGAAUUACUGGGCGUAAAGCGCACGUAGGCGGACUGGAAAGUUGGGGGUGAAAUCCCAGGGCUCAACCCUGGAACUGCCUUCAAAACUAUCAGUCUGGAGUUCGAGAGAGGUGAGUGGAAUUCCGAGUGUAGAGGUGAAAUUCGUAGAUAUUCGGAGGAACACCAGUGGCGAAGGCGGCUCACUGGCUCGAUACUGACGCUGAGGUGCGAAAGCGUGGGGAGCAAACAGGAUUAGAAACCCGAGUAGUCC
RNAcentral lists this ribosomal RNA (440 nucleotides) under uncultured bacterium. RNAcentral describes it as "bacterial SSU rRNA". It matches the Rfam family "Bacterial small subunit ribosomal RNA", at positions 339 to 796 of the family's 1533-position model. The record is from RNAcentral.